GGAGGGGUCGCAUAGUGGCCUAGUGCGCACGCUUGGAGAGCGUGUUUCCCGCAAGGGACCGCGGGUUCGAAUCCCGCCCCCUCCGCCA
This 88-nucleotide transfer RNA is filed under the name candidate division WWE3 bacterium. RNAcentral's name for it is "tRNA-Ser". It matches the Rfam family "tRNA". From Rfam's summary of the family: Transfer RNA (tRNA) molecules are approximately 80 nucleotides in length. Their secondary structure includes four short double-helical elements and three loops (D, anti-codon, and T loops). Further hydrogen bonds mediate the characteristic L-shaped molecular structure. tRNAs have two regions of fundamental functional importance: the anti-codon, which is responsible for specific mRNA codon recognition, and the 3' end, to which the tRNAs corresponding amino acid is attached (by aminoacyl-tRNA synthetases). tRNAs cope with the degeneracy of the genetic code in two manners: having more than one tRNA (with a specific anti-codon) for a particular amino acid; and 'wobble' base-pairing, i.e. permitting non-standard base-pairing at the 3rd anti-codon position. Lineage: Bacteria; candidate division WWE3. The record is from RNAcentral.